UGUAAAGUAAUAAUUAAAGCAUAUAAUGGAUGCCUUGGAUUUGAGAGUCGAUGAAGGACGUAAUUAAAAAAAACGAAAGGUUGUGGAAAAUUUUAUUAUUUACCACAAAUAUCCGAAUGGGGUAACCUGUUAUAUAGGAGAUAUAACAUUACUUAUCUUAUAAAUAAGUAAAGAAUACUUAAGGAACUGAAACAUCUUAGUACUUAAAGGAAAAGAAAACAAAAGUGAUUCCGUUAGUAGUGGCGAGCGAAAGCGGAGAAGUCUAAACUAUAAUUGUAUUUAUUGCUUUUAUAGGGUUAUAGGGUUAUAAAUUUAAAAAUUUUAUUUAUUAUAGUAGAAAUAUUUGGAAAAAUAUAUCAAAGAAGGUGAUAGUCCUGUAUACGAAAUAAUAAAUAUAAUUUAUAUAUAAUACCUAAGUAAAACGAGACACGUGUAAUCUUGUUUGAAUUUGCCAGGACCAUCUGGUAAGACUAAAUACUACUCAAAUACCGAUAGUGAACUAGUACCGUGAGGGAAAGGUGAAAAGAAUUUCUAUAAGAAAUGUGAAAAAGAUCCUGAAAUUAUAUGCUUACAAUCAGUCGGAGCUUUUAUAUGAUUGAAAAAAUUAUAUAUAAAGUGACGUCUUGCCUUUUGCAUAAUGAACCUACGAGUUAAUUUUUCUGGCGAGGUUAAAUAAUUAAGUUAUGAAGCCAUAGCGAAAGCGAGUUUUAAUAGAGCGUUAGUCAGAGGAAUUAGACGCGAAACCGAGUGAUCUAUCCAUGAGCAAGUUGAAUCUAUGGUAAAACAUAGUGGAGGACUGAACCGGUAGAUGUUGAAAAAUCUUCGGAUGACUUGUGGAUUGGAGUGAAAGGCUAAUCAAACUCGGAGAUAGCUCGUACUCCUCGAAAUGCAUUUAGGUGCAGCGUUAUGUUAUAAUAUUAUAUAGGUAGAGCUACUAAUUUGAUAAGGGGGUUUCAUUACCUACCGAAUCUUGAUAAACUCCGAAUUAUUUUUGUAUGUAAAGCCCUUAUAAUUACAAAAUUAUGUAGUAAUAUUGUUUUUGCUUAGAAUCAAUUACUUU
Molecule: ribosomal RNA, 1060 nt
Filed under: Candidatus Shikimatogenerans bostrichidophilus
Lineage: Bacteria; Pseudomonadati; Bacteroidota; Flavobacteriia; Flavobacteriales
Description: partial 23S ribosomal RNA
Rfam family: Bacterial large subunit ribosomal RNA
Source: RNAcentral